This 429-nucleotide ribosomal RNA is filed under the name Actinomycetes bacterium. RNAcentral's name for it is "Actinobacteria bacterium partial 16S ribosomal RNA". It matches the Rfam family "Bacterial small subunit ribosomal RNA", at positions 355 to 776 of the family's 1533-position model. Lineage: Bacteria; Bacillati; Actinomycetota; Actinomycetes. The record is from RNAcentral.
UAGGGAAUCUUCCGCAAUGGGCGAAAGCCUGACGGAGCAACGCCGCGUGAGUGAUGAAGGUCUUCGGAUCGUAAAACUCUGUUAUUAGGGAAGAACAAAUGUGUAAGUAACUAUGCACGUCUUGACGGUACCUAAUCAGAAAGCCACGGCUAACUACGUGCCAGCAGCCGCGGUAAUACGUAGGUGGCAAGCGUUAUCCGGAAUUAUUGGGCGUAAAGCGCGCGUAGGCGGUUUUUUAAGUCUGAUGUGAAAGCCCACGGCUCAACCGUGGAGGGUCAUUGGAAACUGGAAAACAUGAGUGCAGAAGAGGAAAGUGGAAUUCCAUGUGUAGCGGUGAAAUGCGCAGAGAUAUGGAGGAACACCAGUGGCGAAGGCGACUUUCUGGUCUGUAACUGACGCUGAUGUGCGAAAGCGUGGGGAUCAAACAGG